GGAGUUUUCAAAACAAGAAAUGCCUUGUCAUCCAGAUUUUACUGGCCAGGAAUGAUGGUUGAUAUUUUGAAAUGGGUAGCUGAGUGUGACAGAUGUCAAAAGAUUGGUAAACCACUUGUGGUCGAUUCAACACUGCAGAGUAUUCAGGUUUCAACAGUAUGGGAAUUGGUGGGGAUUGGUUUAACUGGGACUUUGCCGCAGACUGCUGAUGGAUACCAGUAUAUAUUAACCGCUACAGACUACUUCACAAAAUGGGUCAAAGCUUUUCCACUAAAAACAAAGACUGUGAAGGAAGUUGCAAAGUGUCUGUGCACUAUAGUAUAUCGACAUGGCUGUCCUCUCCAAAUCCUCUCAGAUCAAGGAAGAGAGUUUGUUAAUGAAGGCUCUUGCAAAACUCGUUGAUGAUCAUCAGAAUGAUUGGAACAUCUACUUGGAUGCCAUUUUGUUUUCACUCAGAUCAAAAGUCCAUACAAGUACAAAGUUUAGCCCUUUCUUUCUGAUGUAUGGAAGAGGCAAGAUUUCCUUCUGAAGUACCAGAAGAA
Long non-coding RNA from Acipenser ruthenus (sterlet), 542 nucleotides. RefSeq lists it as uncharacterized. The record is from RefSeq and is a predicted model, not a curated record. The transcript is spliced from 4 exons. Lineage: Eukaryota; Metazoa; Chordata; Actinopteri; Acipenseriformes; Acipenseridae.